AACGCACCUUGCGCUCCUUGGUAUUCCUUGGAGCAUGCCUGUUUGAGUAUCAUGAAAUUCUCAAAGUCAAUCUUUUGUUAAUUCAAUUGAUUUGUGCUUUGGACUUGGAGGUCUUUGCGGAUUAAUAAUCUGCUCCUCUUAAAUUCAUUAGCUGGAUCUCAGUAUAUGCUUGGUUCCACUCGGCGUGAUAAGUUAUCACUCGCUGAGGACACCUGUAAAAAAGGUGGCCAGGAAAUACAGAUGAACCGCUUCUAAUAGUCUAUUAAGUUAGACAAUUAAAUUUUAAGAUCUGAUCUCAAAUCAGGUAGGACUACCCGCUGAACUUAA
RNAcentral lists this unclassified non-coding RNA (327 nucleotides) under uncultured Cantharellales. RNAcentral describes it as "sequence contains 5.8S rRNA gene, ITS2, 28S rRNA gene". Lineage: Eukaryota; Fungi; Basidiomycota; Agaricomycetes; Cantharellales. The record is from RNAcentral.